Molecule: ribosomal RNA, 610 nt
Filed under: Escherichia coli
Lineage: Bacteria; Pseudomonadati; Pseudomonadota; Gammaproteobacteria; Enterobacterales; Enterobacteriaceae
Description: bacterial SSU rRNA
Rfam family: Bacterial small subunit ribosomal RNA
Source: RNAcentral
GGGUGAGUAAUGUCUGGGAAACUGCCUGAUGGAGGGGGAUAACUACUGGAAACGGUAGCUAAUACCGCAUAACGUCGCAAGACCAAAGAGGGGGACCUUCGGGCCUCUUGCCAUCGGAUGUGCCCAGAUGGGAUUAGCUAGUAGGUGGGGUAACGGCUCACCUAGGCGACGAUCCCUAGCUGGUCUGAGAGGAUGACCAGCCACACUGGAACUGAGACACGGUCCAGACUCCUACGGGAGGCAGCAGUGGGGAAUAUUGCACAAUGGGCGCAAGCCUGAUGCAGCCAUGCCGCGUGUAUGAAGAAGGCCUUCGGGUUGUAAAGUACUUUCAGCGGGGAGGAAGGGAGUAAAGUUAAUACCUUUGCUCAUUGACGUUACCCGCAGAAGAAGCACCGGCUAACUCCGUGCCAGCAGCCGCGGUAAUACGGAGGGUGCAAGCGUUAAUCGGAAUUACUGGGCGUAAAGCGCACGCAGGCGGUUUGUUAAGUCAGAUGUGAAAUCCCCGGGCUCAACCUGGGAACUGCAUCUGAUACUGGCAAGCUUGAGUCUCGUAGAGGGGGGUAGAAUUCCAGGUGUAGCGGUGAAAUGCGUAGAGAUCUGGAGGAAUACC